RNAcentral lists this ribosomal RNA (253 nucleotides) under uncultured bacterium. Its description in RNAcentral is "partial 16S ribosomal RNA". It matches the Rfam family "Bacterial small subunit ribosomal RNA", at positions 524 to 776 of the family's 1533-position model. The record is from RNAcentral.
UACGAAGGUGUCUAACGUUGUCCGGAAUAACUGGGCGUAAAGGGCGCGUAGGCGGUCAGGUAAGUCAGAUGUGAAAGCUCUGGGCUCAACCCAGGAAUUGCAUUUGAAACUGCCAGACUCGAGUUCGGUAGAGGAGGGCGGAAUUCCAGGUGUAGCGGUGAAAUGCGUAGAUAUCUGGAGGAACACCCGUGGCGAAGGCGGCUCUCUGGUCCGAUACUGACGCUGAGGCGCGAAAGCUAGGGUAGCAAACAGG